RNAcentral lists this ribosomal RNA (253 nucleotides) under uncultured bacterium. RNAcentral's name for it is "partial 16S ribosomal RNA". It matches the Rfam family "Bacterial small subunit ribosomal RNA", at positions 524 to 776 of the family's 1533-position model. The record is from RNAcentral.
UACGAAGGAUCCAAGCGUUAUCCGGAUUUAUUGGGUUUAAAGGGUGCGUAGGCGGAUUGCUAAGUCAGUGGUGAAAGCCUGCAGCUUAACUGCAGAACUGCCAUUGAUACUGUCAAUCUUGAAUGUGGUUGAUGUGGGCGGAAUAUGACAUGUAGCGGUGAAAUGCUUAGAUAUGUCAUAGAACACCGAUUGCGAAGGCAGCUCACAAAGCCAUUAUUGACGCUGAGGCACGAAAGCGUGGGGAUCAAACAGG